GCCGGGCGCGGUGGCUCACGCCUGUAAUCCCAGCACUUUGGGAGGCUGAGGCAGGUGGAUCACCUGAGGUCAGGAGUUCAAGACCAGCCUGGCCAACAUGGUGAAACCCCGUCUCUA
Non-coding RNA from Gorilla gorilla gorilla (western lowland gorilla), 117 nucleotides. It matches the Rfam family "Metazoan signal recognition particle RNA". From Rfam's summary of the family: The signal recognition particle (SRP) is a universally conserved ribonucleoprotein. It is involved in the co-translational targeting of proteins to membranes. The record is from Rfam. Lineage: Eukaryota; Metazoa; Chordata; Mammalia; Primates; Hominidae.